CCCGCUGAACUUAAGCAUAUCAAUAAGCGGAGGAAAAGAAACUAACAAGGAUUCCCCUAGUAACUGCGAGUGAAGCGGGAAAAGCUCAAAUUUAAAAUCUGGCGGUCUCGCGGCCGUCCGAGUUGUAAUCUGGAGAAGCGUUUUCCGCGUCGGACCGUGCACAAGUCUCCUGGAACGGAGCGUCGUAGAGGGUGAGAAUCCCGUCUUUGGCACGGACACACCAGGGCUUUUGCGAUGCGCUCUCGAAGAGUCGAGUUGUUUGGGAAUGCAGCUCAAAAUGGGUGGUGAACUCCAUCUAAAGCUAAAUAUUGGCGAGAGACCGAUAGCGAACAAGUACCGUGAGGGAAAGAUGAAAAGCACUUUGGAAAGAGAGUGAAACAGUACGUGAAAUUGUUGAAAGGGAAACGCUUGAAGUCAGUCGCGUCGUCCGAGACUCAGCCUCGCCUCGGCUUGGCGUACUUCUCGGCCCGACGGGUCAGCAUCAAUUUCGCCUCUCGGAUAAUGGCGAGGGAAAAGUGACACCUUUACGGUGUGUUAUAGUCUCUCGUCGCAUGCGAGGGUCGGGAUUGAGGGACUCAGCACGCGCCCUCGGGCGUCGGGGCUUUCGCCCACGAUACGUGCUUAGGAUGUUGGCGUAAUGGCUUUAAACGACCCGUCUUGAAACACGG
Molecule: ribosomal RNA, 668 nt
Filed under: uncultured fungus
Lineage: Eukaryota; Fungi
Description: eukaryotic LSU rRNA
Rfam family: Eukaryotic large subunit ribosomal RNA
Source: RNAcentral